AAGUCGUAACAAGGUUUCCGUAGGUGAACCUGCGGAAGGAUCAUUAUCGAAAAUAAAGGGUUGUCUGCUGGCCUCUCGGGGCGCGCGCACGCCCAAAUCCACAACACACCUGUGAACCCACCGUAGGCCCUCGGGCUUAUGUAUUAUCAUAUACUCUGAUCAUAGAAUGUAAAUAUUUUGCCUUAAAAACGCAAUGAAAUACAACUUUCAACAACGGAUCUCUUGGCUCUCGCAUCGAUGAAGAACGCAGCGAAAUGCGAUAAGUAAUGUGAAUUGCAGAUUUUCAGUGAAUCAUCGAAUCUUUGAACGCACCUUGCGCUCCUUGGUAUUCCGAGGAGCAUGCCUGUUUGAGUGUCAUUAAAUUCUCAACCCCAGCGGUUCGUUGGGGCUUGGACUUGGAGCGUGCUGGCGAAGGUCGGCUCCUCUUUAAAUGCAUCAGCGGAAAAACGAACUUUUCCCUUCAGCGUGAUAAUCCUGUUGCGCUGUGGUGGGUCAAGGUCCCGCUCACAAUCGUCCUCGGACAAAAGACACAUCUGUUUUGACCUCAGAUCAGGUAGGACUACCCGCUGAACUUAAGCAUAUCAAUAAGCGGAGGAAAAGAAACUAACAAGGAUUCCCCUAGUAACUGCGAGUGAAGCGGGAAAAGCUCAAAUUUAAAAUCUGGCGGUCCUCUGGCCGUCCGAGUUGUAAUCUGGAGAAGCGUUUUCCGCGUCGGACCGUGUACAAGUCUUCUGGAACGGAGCGUCAUAGAGGGUGAGAAUCCCGUCUCUGACACGGACUGCCGAUGCUUCAUGUGAUACGCUCUCGAAGAGUCGAGUUGUUUGGGAAUGCAGCUCAAAAUGGGUGGUAAAUUCCAUCUAAAGCUAAAUAUUGGCGAGAGACCGAUAGCGAACAAGUACCGUGAGGGAAAGAUGAAAAGCACUUUGGAAAGAGAGUUAAACAGUACGUGAAAUUGUUGAAAGGGAAACGUUUGAAGUCAGUCGCGUCGGCCGGGACUCAACCUUGCUAUCUUGCUCGGUGCACUUCUCGGUUGACGGGUCAGCAUCAAUUUUGACCGUCGGAUAAAGGCCAAGGGAACGUGGCAUCCUCCGGGGUGUGUUAUAGCCCUUGGUUCGCAUACGGCGAUUGGGAUUGAGGAACUCAGCACGCCUUCAUUGGUCGGGGCUUAAUCGCUCACGUUAACGUGCUAGGAUGCUGGCAUAAUGGCUUUAAGCGACC
This 1218-nucleotide ribosomal RNA is filed under the name uncultured fungus. Its description in RNAcentral is "eukaryotic LSU rRNA". The stretch from base 540 to 1218 matches the Rfam family "Eukaryotic large subunit ribosomal RNA", at positions 1 to 649 of the family's 3401-position model. Lineage: Eukaryota; Fungi. The record is from RNAcentral.